CCUACGGGAGGCUGCAGUGAGGAAUAUUGGUCAAUGGACGCAAGCCUGAACCAGCCAUGCCGCGUGCAGGAAGACGGCUCUAUGAGUUGUAAACUGCUUUUGUACGAGGGUAAACGCAGAUACGCGUACCUGUCUGAAAGUAACGUACGAAUAAGGAUCGGCUAACUCCGUGCCAGCAGCCGCGGUAAUACGGAGGAUUCAAGCGUUAUCCGGAUUUAUUGGGUUUAAAGGGUGCGCAGGCGGGUGAUCAAGUCAGCGGUAAAAUGGCGGGGCUCAACCCCGGCCGGCCGUUGGAACUGGUGUUCUAGAGUUGGAGAGAAGUAUGCGGAAUGCGUGGUGUAGCGGUGAAAUGCAUAGAUAUCACGAAGAACUCCGAUUGCGAAGGCAGCAUACCGGCUCCAUACUGACGCUGAGGCACGAAAGCGUGGGGAUCGAACAGGAUUAGAUACCCGAGUAGUC
RNAcentral lists this ribosomal RNA (459 nucleotides) under uncultured bacterium. RNAcentral describes it as "partial 16S ribosomal RNA". It matches the Rfam family "Bacterial small subunit ribosomal RNA", at positions 338 to 795 of the family's 1533-position model. The record is from RNAcentral.